UAUUGGACAAUGGGGGCAACCUGAUCCAGCCAUGCCGCGUGUGUGAAGAAGGACCUUCGGGUUGUAAAGACAUUUCAGCAGUGAGGAAAGGCGAAGUGGUUAAU
RNAcentral lists this ribosomal RNA (104 nucleotides) under unidentified oil field bacterium OCEA3. Its description in RNAcentral is "partial 16S ribosomal RNA". The record is from RNAcentral. Lineage: Bacteria; Pseudomonadati; Pseudomonadota; Gammaproteobacteria.